GUGCCGUCCUUCGUCAGGGACUACGUCAUCGUCACCUCGUGGCUGCGAGGAAGUACGGACCGCAUCGUCACCGACAUCGACUCCGGCGGCCGGUACUCGGUGUUCCCGUCCGGAGAGCUGCACAUCCGCCACGUGACCCCGGCCGACGGCGCGCUGCCCUACCGCUGCGAGACCAGACACCUGCUCACCGGGGAGACGCGGCUCAGUGCCGUUGCCGGCAGACUGUUGGUGACGUCACCGCAGAGCUCGGUGCCGCCGCGCAUCACGGACUCCCGCAGCCACGUGCAGGCGCGCUAC
This is a long non-coding RNA of Schistocerca gregaria, 297 nucleotides long. RefSeq lists it as uncharacterized. The transcript is spliced from 3 exons. Lineage: Eukaryota; Metazoa; Arthropoda; Insecta; Orthoptera; Acrididae. The record is from RefSeq and is a predicted model, not a curated record.